Molecule: ribosomal RNA, 466 nt
Filed under: uncultured bacterium
Lineage: Bacteria
Description: partial 16S ribosomal RNA
Rfam family: Bacterial small subunit ribosomal RNA
Source: RNAcentral
GAUGAACGCUGGCGGCGUGCUUAACACAUGCAAGUCGAACGGUGAAGCCCAGCUUGCUGGGUGGAUUAGUGGCGAACGGGUGAGUAACACGUGAGUAACCUGCCCUUAACUCUGGGAUAAGCCUGGGAAACUGGGUCUAAUACCGGAUAGGAGCGUCCACCGCAUGGUGGGUGUUGGAAAGAUUUAUCGGUUUUGGAUGGACUCGCGGCCUAUCAGCUUGUUGGUGUGGUAAUGGCUCACCAAGGCGACGACGGGUAGCCGGCCUGAGAGGGUGACCGGCCACACUGGGACUGAGACACGGCCCAGACUCCUACGGGAGGCAGCAGUAGGGAAUAUUGCACGAUGGGCGCAAGCCUGAUGCAGCGACGCCGCGUGAGGGAUGACGGCCUUCGGGUUGUAAACCUCUUUCAGUAGGGAAGAAGCGAAAGUGACGGUACCUGCAGAAGAAGCACCGGCUAACUACGUG